AUUUAUAUAGUUUAAUAAAAACAAUACAUUUUCAUUGUAUAAAUAAUACCUAUAUUUAUAAAUA
Molecule: transfer RNA, 64 nt
Filed under: Ruidocollaris obscura
Lineage: Eukaryota; Metazoa; Arthropoda; Insecta; Orthoptera; Tettigoniidae
Description: tRNA-Glu
Source: RNAcentral